RNAcentral lists this unclassified non-coding RNA (342 nucleotides) under soil metagenome. Its description in RNAcentral is "partial contains 5.8S ribosomal RNA, internal transcribed spacer 2, and large subunit ribosomal RNA". The stretch from base 1 to 120 matches the Rfam family "5.8S ribosomal RNA", at positions 35 to 154 of the family's 154-position model. The record is from RNAcentral.
GAUGAAGAACGCAGCGAAAUGCGAUAAGUAAUGUGAAUUGCAGAAUUCAGUGAAUCAUCGAAUCUUUGAACGCACAUUGCGCCCGCCAGCACUCUGGCGGGCAUGCCUGUUCGAGCGUCAUUUCAACCAUCAAGCCCCCAGGGGCUUGUGCUGGGGCCCUGCGGCUGCCCGCAGGCCCUGAAAACCAGUGGCGGGCUCGCUAGUCACACCGAGCGCAGUAGCGCAUCUCGCUCAGGGCGUGCGGCGGGCUCCUGCCGUGAAACCCCCCACUGUAACCCCAAAGGUUGACCUCGGAUCAGGUAGGAAUACCCGCUGAACUUAAGCAUAUCAAUAAGCGGAGGA